Molecule: long non-coding RNA, 1087 nt
Organism: Balaenoptera ricei (Rice's whale)
Lineage: Eukaryota; Metazoa; Chordata; Mammalia; Artiodactyla; Balaenopteridae
Exons: 5
Source: RefSeq, a predicted model, not a curated record
UUUUUUUUUUUUUUUAAAGAAGAAAAAAAGAUCCCAAUUCAGUUGGCAAUCCGAGGGGAAAAGGUUUCCCCUGGGGUCUCUGCCAAGGCUGCUCGGCAGGAAACAAUGCUCAGGAGGCGGCUCCCAAGGGGCGCCUGGGAGGGACUCAAACCUCUCUCUCUCUCUGCUGCACGGAAAGGGGGCCUGCCUUCCACCACUCAGAAUAUCCCUCUGGCUCCUUGGUCUGCGGGAAUCCUUCUAUUAAAUGUCACUGCUUGCGAGAAGGAAUACCCUGGAAACGACUAACUUCCCAGGAGACCUGAGAGGCAGCGAAGACAGCGCCGAGUACACACAUCCUGGCUUUGAAUCGUCUUGGCCACUUACUAGCUGGUGACCCUGGGCAGAUCGUGCAGGACAGGCUCUGCGGCAGCACAGACCUCCCAGCUCUGCUCCUCAACAGCGGCGCGACCCCAGGCAAGCCUCUCUCGGGCUCCAGGUUUCCUUAAGUGGAAAAGGUAACAGAGUCACAUGAUUUAAAAUUCCAAAGGUAACACUCCUCACUCCGAUCCCUGGCAUCCAGUUUCCCUUCCCAGAGGCAAAGAAGAUUACCUGCUGCUUGGGGCACCAUGAAAAGUUACUGAAAGGCACCAUGAUCCAAGAAAGCUGGGACUCUGGUUAGGCAACAAGGCAUUCUAAUGAGUGUCCCUGCAGACUCUUCCCACCCGAAGGUGGAGUCUGCUUCCCCCUCUUCCAGAGGGCCGGCCCUGGGACUUGCUUUGACCCACAGAAUGAAGCAGGAAGCAGCACAGAUCACUGGGUGAUUUCCGAACCUCCAAAGGCCCUGCAGCUUCUGAUUUCACCCUCACCACACAAGAGCUCAUUGAGAUGAGCGAAUGAUGAGAGAAUGAUGGAGAGAAAGAGGUCACAUGGCCGGGCAAUGAGCCACCCCAGCCAACAGCCACCACCAAGACCCCGGACACGUGCUCAAGGCUGUCCUGGAUCCUCCAGCCCCAGUUCUGCCACACCUCCGACAUCAUACAGAGCGGCCUGGUUAUCCAGCCAACCCACAGAAUUGUAAGAAUUAAUAAAACACUGUUAUUUUAAGCCA